GCCGAGAUGGCGAAACUGGUAGACGCACCAGACUCAAAAUCUGGCGGUGGUGACACCGUGCCGGUUCGAUUCCGGCUCUCGGUACCA
This 87-nucleotide transfer RNA is filed under the name Methylococcaceae bacterium. Its description in RNAcentral is "tRNA-Leu". It matches the Rfam family "tRNA". Rfam says of the family: Transfer RNA (tRNA) molecules are approximately 80 nucleotides in length. Their secondary structure includes four short double-helical elements and three loops (D, anti-codon, and T loops). Lineage: Bacteria; Pseudomonadati; Pseudomonadota; Gammaproteobacteria; Methylococcales; Methylococcaceae. The record is from RNAcentral. RNAcentral also lists the same sequence under 1 other name.